GCAUGGAUGAUUCGCUAGAAUAGAAACGAGUACCCUAAGAAAAACGCAUAAGCAGCCUAGCGCAAAGGGAGCAGGGGUCUCAGCACUAGCGACCCGUAGGUCGCAGGUCUGGCUCGGCGGCGCCCUCCCUGGGGUCGCCGGGGACAUUGGAUCCUUUCUACUCAAGGCAGGAAGGGCGCCGUUCCCAGCCGCAGAGCGCAGCGCGCUCACGGGGUGGGGCCGCCGGGUGGGCCCCAGCAUCCAGCAGCCGCAGCUCCGGGCACUGGGGCUUCACUGCAGCUAUUGCGCAGACUCUGCGUUCCACGCAGGCUUAUUAGGAAGAAAGAGGGCAAAACUGCCCGGAGGCACGUGAACGCGUAGGGACCAACCGGGCCUCCGCGCCCCGCCGCAUCCCAGUCCCGAAUUUACGAUCACGAAAGUUCGACCGCCCGCGGAUUGGCUCUCGGGCCGCAUGACGUCAUAGCGCUUGAUCCCUGCUCGCAGCCGGGAUUGGCUGGCCGCGGCACUGUGACGUCACGGUCAGCCCACGCUCCGGCUGUGGACAGCGGCGCCUUCCUCUUACCCGCGGCCGGCGCUCCUCUCGCUUCGCAUCCUCGUCGGCUCCAGCUGGCCGCGGGAGUCCCGCCGCCGCUGCCGCCGCUGCGCUGUCCUCGGAGCCGCUGCUACCUCGGAGGAGGACAUAUACUUCUCCUCCCCUGUAAAUCUGUACCCCUGACCUUAAGGUGCUUCUCCACCGUCAGUGAAGAACCGCUGGUGAGGAGAGGAGAGUCCUGGUCCUGUCAAGCUCACCUAGCCAGGGACUGGCAGAGCCAGAAGAGAUGCCCUCUGGCCCCUUCUUGGACCACGUCCCGUCAGUAGGACUCCAGUGAGGAACAGUGAAUAUAGCUUCACUUCACAGAGAUGAUUCUCUUUAGGCCUUCCUGGCCUCGGGGUUCCAGCAGACUGAGUCAGGUGCAG
Molecule: long non-coding RNA, 957 nt
Filed under: Cavia porcellus (domestic guinea pig)
Lineage: Eukaryota; Metazoa; Chordata; Mammalia; Rodentia; Caviidae
Description: lncRNA (ENSCPOG00000032996.1)
Source: RNAcentral